GAUGAACGCUGGCGGCGUGCCUAAUACAUGCAAGUCGAGCGAACAGACGAGGAGCUUGCUCCUCUGACGUUAGCGGCGGACGGGUGAGUAACACUUGGAUAACCUACCUAUAAGACUGGGAUAACUUCGGGAAACCGGAGCUAAUACCGGAUAAUAUAUUGAACCGCAUGGUUCAAUAGUGAAAGACGGUUUUGCUGUCACUUAUAGAUGGAUCCGCGCCGCAUUAGCUAGUUGGUAAGGUAACGGCUUACCAAGGCAACGAUGCGUAGCCGACCUGAGAGCGUGAUCGGCCACACUGGAACUGAGACACGGUCCAGACUACUAAGGGAGGCAGCAGUAGGGAAUCUUACGCAAUGGGCGAAAGCCUGACGGAGCAACGACGCGUGAGUGAGGAAGGUGUUCGGAUAGUAAAACUCUGUUAUUAGGGAAGAACAAAUGUGUAAGUAACUAUGAACGUCUUGACGGUACCUAAUCAGAAAGCCACGGCUAACUACGUG
This 497-nucleotide ribosomal RNA is filed under the name uncultured bacterium. RNAcentral describes it as "partial 16S ribosomal RNA". It matches the Rfam family "Bacterial small subunit ribosomal RNA", at positions 28 to 507 of the family's 1533-position model. The record is from RNAcentral.